AGGUCCCCGCCGCCACUGCCGCCACUCCUCUUCCUCCUCAGCCGCCGCCGCCGCCGCCUCCUCCGCCGCCGCGGCCGCCUCCACCGCCGCCAAGGUUCACACUCAGCCGCCGUCGCCGUAAAGCGCCUCGGCUGUUACCCCGGGGCCUCAACUGGAAGUCUGAGGAUUAGAAUCAUCUGAAAACUUUUCACUUUCAUGUUGGUGAUUGAUACUGGCUGGAGGCUGCUGGCUGGAAACCUCAGCUCAACUCCAUGUAGACCUCUCCAGGUGGUCUCUUAAUAUGGACUGCUUUGGGCUUUUUCACAGCAUGAUGGCUAGGUUCCCAGGGCUAGGAACGGUCUUCCUGAUCUGUGUAGCCUUGGAACCUGAUGCAGUGCUUGGAACUAAUAAGUCCUCAUGAAACACUUGCACUUUGUUAGGAGGACAUUAAGGCUAUGUCUCAACUCGACCAGAAGGUGCCACAAUGAGUCAGCACUAUCCGUCAUAGGCACGCAGAAGAGGAGGGGAAUAUACGUGUGAUCAUAUGUGCAGCUAUUUCAAACAAUGCUUUCUUGAAUAAAAUGAGUAGAAUACUCACUUGUAUGAGUAUUCCAGAGGACAAAUUGCUGGAAGCAGAAGUGUUAGGUCAAAGGCAUGUGCAUUAAAAACAUUGAUAUUUUUCAAAUUACUCUCAAAAGAUGUUUCACUUAUACGUCCUCACUUGUAUGAGAAUGCUAGUCUUAUUAAAUCAAUGCCAACAAUUAUUUAUAGGUGGAAAUAGUAACUUGUUUUAAUUGCUCUUGCUUUAAUUAGGAAUAAUGUGAUCUUUCUGCAUUUUCAUACCUUAUUCUGAGAAUUGCCUGUUAAUUUUCCUUUCCUCAGUGUUACAUUGCAUUUUUUCUAAAAGCUCUUCCAGAAAUGGUUAAUGAGUGAACAGAUGAUAAUAAAACAUUAUCUCAAAGUA
Molecule: long non-coding RNA, 943 nt
Organism: Canis lupus familiaris (dog)
Lineage: Eukaryota; Metazoa; Chordata; Mammalia; Carnivora; Canidae
Exons: 5
Source: RefSeq, a predicted model, not a curated record